GACGAACGCUGUCGGCGUGCUUAACACAUGCAAGUCGAACGGAAAGGCCCUGCUUUUGUGGGGUGCUCGAGUGGCGAACGGGUGAGUAACACGUGAGUAACCUGCCCUUGACUUUGGGAUAACUUCAGGAAACUGGGGCUAAUACCGGAUAGGAGCUCCUGCUGCAUGGUGGGGGUUGGAAAGUUUCGGCGGUUGGGGAUGGACUCGCGGCUUAUCAGCUUGUUGGUGGGGUAGUGGCUUACCAAGGCUUUGACGGGUAGCCGGCCUGAGAGGGUGACCGGCCACAUUGGGACUGAGAUACGGCCCAGACUCCUACGGGAGGCAGCAGUGGGGAAUAUUGCACAAUGGGCGGAAGCCUGAUGCAGCAACGCCGCGUGCGGGAUGACGGCCUUCGGGUUGUAAACCGCUUUCGCCUGUGACGAAGCGUGAGUGACGGUAAUGGGUAAAGAAGCACCGGCUAACUACGUGCCAGCAGCCGCGGUGAUACGUAGGGUGCGAGCGUUGUCCGGAUUUAUUGGGCGUAAAGGGCUCGUAGGUGGUUGAUCGCGUCGGAAGUGUAAUCUUGGGGCUUAACCCUGAGCGUGCUUUCGAUACGGGUUGACUUGAGGAAGGUAGGGGAGAAUGGAAUUCCUGGUGGAGCGGUGGAAUGCGCAGAUAUCAGGAGGAACACCAGUGGCGAAGGCGGUUCUCUGGGCCUUUCCUGACGCUGAGGAGCGAAAGCGUGGGGAGCGAACAGGCUUAGAUACCCUGGUAGUCCACGCUGUAAACGGUGGGUACUAGGUGUGGGGUCCAUUCCACGGGUUCCGUGCCGUAGCUAACGCUUUAAGUACCCCGCCUGGGGAGUACGGCCGCAAGGCUAAAACUCAAAGGAAUUGACGGGGCCCCGCACAAGCGGCGGAGCAUGCGGAUUAAUUCGAUGCAACGCGUAGAACCUUACCUGGGUUUGACAUGGAUCGGGAGUGCUCAGAGAUGGGUGUGCCUCUUUUGGGGUCGGUUCACAGGUGGUGCAUGGCUGUCGUCAGCUCGUGUCGUGAGAUGUUGGGUUAAGUCCCGCAACGAGCGCAACCCUUGUUCACUGUUGCCAGCACGUUAUGGUGGGGACUCAGUGGAGACCGCCGGGGUCAACUCGGAGGAAGGUGGGGAUGACGUCAAGUCAUCAUGCCCCUUAUGUCCAGGGCUUCACGCAUGCUACAAUGGCUGGUACAGAGAGUGGCGAGCCUGUGAGGGUGAGCGAAUCUCGGAAAGCCGGUCUCAGUUCGGAUUGGGGUCUGCAACUCGACCUCAUGGAGUCGGAGUCGCUAGUAAUCGCAGAUCAGCAACGCUGCGGUGAAUACGUUCCCGGG
This 1343-nucleotide ribosomal RNA is filed under the name uncultured bacterium. Its description in RNAcentral is "16S ribosomal RNA". It matches the Rfam family "Bacterial small subunit ribosomal RNA", at positions 28 to 1378 of the family's 1533-position model. The record is from RNAcentral.